This 497-nucleotide ribosomal RNA is filed under the name uncultured bacterium. RNAcentral's name for it is "partial 16S ribosomal RNA". It matches the Rfam family "Bacterial small subunit ribosomal RNA", at positions 28 to 507 of the family's 1533-position model. The record is from RNAcentral.
GAUGAACGCUGGCGGCGUGCCUAAUACAUGCAAGUCGAGCGAACGGACGAGAAGCUUGCUUCUCUGAUGUUAGCGGCGGACGGGUGAGUAACACGUGGAUAACCUACCUAUAAGACUGGGAUAACUUCGGGAAACCGGAGCUAAUACCGGAUGAUAUUUUGAACCGCAUGGUUCAAAAGUGAAAGACGGUCUUGCUGUCACUUAUAGAUGGAUCCGCGCUGCAUUAGCUAGUUGGUAAGGUAACGGCUUACCAAGGCAACGAUGCAUAGCCGACCUGAGAGGGUGAUCGGCCACACUGGAACUGAGACACGUUCCAGACUCCUACGGGAGGCAGCAGUAGGGAAUCUUCCGCAAUGGGCGAAAGCCUGACGGAGCAACGCCGCGUGAGUGAUGAAGGUCUUCGGAUCGUAAAACUCUGUUAUUAGGGAAGAACAUAUGUGUAAGUAACUGUGCACAUCUUGACGGUACCUAAUCAGAAAGCCACGGCUAACUACGUG